UGUGACUGUAUCAGUACAAGAAAAACAUCUGUCAACAGCAGGAAGAUGGCUCUCAUCGAUACGCAAAGCCUGUUUUGUUUAAUUCUUCAAAGCUUUUAUCGGAAUACAACAGACUCAAUUCUUUCUCAACAGAAUCUCCCCACCCAAAUUUUCUUUUACAACUGAUAUCAUAUUGUUCUCGGAAUAUACAGCACACAUAAUUUUGUAGGUUAUAGUCCCUA
Molecule: non-coding RNA, 221 nt
Organism: Pelobates cultripes (western spadefoot toad)
Lineage: Eukaryota; Metazoa; Chordata; Amphibia; Anura; Pelobatidae
Source: the annotation of a GenBank genome assembly